UUCUUUAAGUAUUUAAUUUAAAGUAAAACCUGCUCAAUGUUUUUAAUAAAUAGCCGCAGAUUUACUGUGCUAAGGUAGCAUAAUAAUUAGCUUUUUAAUUAAAAGAUAGUAUGAAAGGUUAUAUGAAAUAUAAAUUGUUUCUAUAAUAAAUUAUAAAUUUAAAAUAAAAGUUAAAAUUCUCUUAUUAUAUAAGAAAGACGAUAAGACCCUAAUAAACUUUUAUCAUUUAGCUGGGGUGGCAAAUAAAACAAACCUUAAUAACAAAAUCAAUCCACCUAAAAUACUUUUUAAUAACUAUUAAGUUACUAUAGGGAUAACAGCGCAAUCUUUUUUAAAAGCUCACAUUAAAAAAAAGACUUACGACCUCGAUGUUGAAUUAAUAUUCUAUUAUAGGUGCAAAAACCUAAAAAAGAUAGUCUGUUCGACUAUUAAAAAAUU
RNAcentral lists this ribosomal RNA (438 nucleotides) under Carapoia sp. Br16-67. RNAcentral describes it as "partial 16S ribosomal RNA". Lineage: Eukaryota; Metazoa; Arthropoda; Arachnida; Araneae; Pholcidae. The record is from RNAcentral.